Molecule: microRNA, 22 nt
Filed under: Pristionchus pacificus
Lineage: Eukaryota; Metazoa; Nematoda; Chromadorea; Rhabditida; Neodiplogasteridae
Description: ppc-miR-2238g-3p
Source: miRBase by way of RNAcentral
AAUGUCAGAACAGUGCGCGAGA